This 465-nucleotide ribosomal RNA is filed under the name Vreelandella stevensii. Its description in RNAcentral is "partial 16S ribosomal RNA". It matches the Rfam family "Bacterial small subunit ribosomal RNA", at positions 338 to 795 of the family's 1533-position model. The record is from RNAcentral. Lineage: Bacteria; Pseudomonadati; Pseudomonadota; Gammaproteobacteria; Oceanospirillales; Halomonadaceae.
CCUACGGGUGGCAGCAGUGGGGAAUAUUGGACAAUGGGCGAAAGCCUGAUCCAGCCAUGCCGCGUGUGUGAAGAAGGCCUUCGGGUUGUAAAGCACUUUCAGUGGGGAAGAAAGCCUUGGGGCUAAUACCCUCGAGGAAGGACAUCACCCACAGAAGAAGCACCGGCUAACUCCGUGCCAGCAGCCGCGGUAAUACGGAGGGUGCGAGCGUUAAUCGGAAUUACUGGGCGUAAAGCGCGCGUAGGCGGUCUGAUAAGCCGGUUGUGAAAGCCCCGGGCUCAACCUGGGAACGGCAUCCGGAACUGGCAGGCGAGAGUGUAGGAGAGGAAGGUAGAAUUCCCGGUGUAGCGGUGAAAUGCGUAGAGAUCGGGAGGAAUACCAGUGGCGAAGGCGGCCUCCUGGACUGACACUGACGCUGAGGUGCGAAAGCGUGGGUAGCAAACAGGAUUAGAUACCCCGGUAGUC